RNAcentral lists this ribosomal RNA (277 nucleotides) under uncultured eukaryote. Its description in RNAcentral is "partial 18S ribosomal RNA". It matches the Rfam family "Eukaryotic small subunit ribosomal RNA", at positions 21 to 271 of the family's 1831-position model. The record is from RNAcentral.
UAGUCAUAUGCUUGUCUCAAAGAUUAAGCCAUGCAUGUCUAAGUAUAAACACCUUUAUACUGCGAAACUGCGAACGGCUCAUUAUAUCAGUUAUAAUCUACUUGAUCGUAUCCUCUUACUUGGAUAACCGUAGUAAUUCUAGAGCUAAUACAUGCAAAAGUUCCCGACUGGUGACGGAAGGGAAGUAUUUAUUAGGUCCAAAAUCAAUGCUGGCCAUUCCAAACUGGGGCAACCUGGGGUCAGGAAAGUUGAUGAUUCAUAAUAACUAAACGAAGCG